Pelobates cultripes (western spadefoot toad) is the source of this 1051-nucleotide non-coding RNA. NCBI's taxonomy places the organism in Eukaryota, Metazoa, Chordata, Amphibia, Anura, Pelobatidae. The record is from the annotation of a GenBank genome assembly.
CACACAUACAUACAUACACUGCUGUGUGUGUGUGCUGUUAGUGUGCUGUGUGAGGGUGCUGUUAGUGUGAUAUGUGUGUAAGGGUGCUGGUAGUGUGCUAUGUGGUUGAGGGUGUUUGUGAGGGUGCUGUUAGUGUGCUGUGUGUGAGGGUGUUGUUUGUGAGGGUGCUGUUUGUGUGUUCUGUGUGUGAGGGUGUUUGUGUGUGUGUGUGUGUUUGUUAGGGUGCUGUUAGUGUGCUGUGUGUGAGGGUGCUGUUUGUUUGUGAGGGUGCUGUUUGUGUUCUGUGUGUGAGGGUGUUUGUGUGUGUGUGCUUGUUAGGGUCCUGUUAGUGUGCUGUAUGAGGGUGCUGUUUGUGUGCUGUGUGGGUGUUGUGUGUUUGUGAGGCUGCUGUUUGUGUGCUGUGUGGGUGUUGUGUGUUCGUGAGGGUGCUGUUUGUGUGUGAGUGUGCUGUGUGUGUGUAUGUGUUUGUGAGGGUGCUGUUAGUGUGCUGUGUGUGAGCAUGCUGUGUGAGUGUGUUUGUAAAGGUGCUGUUAGUGUACUAUGUGUGAGAGGGUGCUGUGUGUGUGUGUGUGUGUGUGAGGGUGCUGUAUGUGUGUAGGUGCUGUGUGUGUGUGGGCGCUGUUUGUGCUGUGUGUGUGUGUGGGUGCUGUUUGUGUGCUGUGUGUGAGGGUGCUGUGUGUGUGAGGGUGCUGUAUGUGUGUAGGGAUUGUGGGGGUGGAGGUGGUGGUUGCUUAGUAAAUAUCCCCCCUCCCUUCUUACCUUAUGUAGGGAGGGGGGAUCCUUGCUGCCAUGUGCCAUCCAGUGGCGUACACAUGACCCAUGGGGCCCCGGUGCGAAAAUUGAUCCAGGGGUCCCCCCCCAUGCUUACUCGGAGCGGGUUGGGGCCGCAACACAUGGCGGCGGGCACCUGGUCGCAGGGCUGCGACCCCGCGACCGCGGUAUGCACACACACUUAAAGGACCACUACAGACACCCAGAUCACAUCAGCUCAAUGAAGUGGUCUGGGUGCCAGGUCUCUCUAGUUUUAACCCUGCAGCUGAAAACAUAGCCG